GAUGAACGCUAGCGGCAGGCUUAAUACAUGCAAGUCGAGGGGCAUCAAGGUACACGAAAGUGUAUUGUUGGCGACCGGCGGACGGGUGAGUAAUAGGUAGGUAACCUACCUCAUACUGAGGCAUAGCUGGGAGAAAUUCCAGGUAAUUCCUCAUGAGGUUAUAUGACACAUGUGAUAUAAUCAAAGGUAUCGCAAGGUACUGGUAUGAGAUGGGCUUACUGACCAUUAGCUAGUUGGUGAGAUAAGAGCUCACCAAGGCGAAGAUGGUUAGGGGUUUUGAGAGAGAGACUCCCCACAUUGGAACUGAGAUACGGUCCAGACUCCUACGGGAGGCAGCAGUAGGGAAUAUUGGGCAAUGGGCGGAAGCCUGACCCAGCCAUGCCGCGUGAAGGAAGACGGCCUUAUGGGUUGUAAACUUCUUUACUAUGCGACUAACUAGAUUUACGAGAUAAUUCUAUAGAAUGUAGCAUAGACAAAAAGCACCGGA
This 487-nucleotide ribosomal RNA is filed under the name uncultured bacterium. RNAcentral's name for it is "bacterial SSU rRNA". It matches the Rfam family "Bacterial small subunit ribosomal RNA", at positions 28 to 497 of the family's 1533-position model. The record is from RNAcentral.